GACGAACGCUGGCGGCGUGCUUAACACAUGCAAGUCGAACGGUAAGGCUCCAGCUUGCUGGGGUACACGAGUGGCGAACGGGUGAGUAACACGUGGGUGACCUGCCCUGCACUUCGGGAUAAGCCUGGGAAACUGGGUCUAAUACCGGAUAGGACUGCACCGUGAGGGUGUGGUGGAAAGUUUUUUCGGUGUGGGAUGGGCCCGCGGCCUAUCAGCUUGUUGGUGGGGUAAUGGCCUACCAAGGCGGCGACGGGUAGCCGGCCUGAGAGGGUGGACGGCCACAUUGGGACUGAGACACGGCCCAGACUCCUACGGGAGGCAGCAGUGGGGAAUAUUGCACAAUGGGCGGAAGCCUGAUGCAGCGACGCCGCGUGGGGGAUGACGGCCUUCGGGUUGUAAACUCCUUUCACCAUCGACGAAGGGUUUCUGACGGUAGAUGGAGAAGAAGCACCGGCUAACUACGUGCCAGCAGCCGCGGUAAUACGUAGGGUGCGAGCGUUGUCCGGAAUUACUGGGCGUAAAGAGCUCGUAGGUGGUUUGUCGCGUCGUCUGUGAAAUUCCGGGGCUUAACUCCGGGCGUGCAGGCGAUACGGGCAUAACUUGAGUACUGUAGGGGAGACUGGAAUUCCUGGUGUAGCGGUGAAAUGCGCAGAUAUCAGGAGGAACACCGGUGGCGAAGGCGGGUCUCUGGGCAGUAACUGACGCUGAGGAGCGAAGGCAUGGGGAGCGAACAGGAUUAGAUACCCUGGUAGUCCAUGCCGUAAACGGUGGGCGCUAGGUGUGGGUUUCCUUCCACGGGAUCCGUGCCGUAGCUAACGCAUUAAGCGCCCCGCCUGGGGAGUACGGCCGCAAGGCUAAAACUCAAAGGAAUUGACGGGGGCCCGCACAAGCGGCGGAGCAUGUGGAUUAAUUCGAUGCAACGCGAAGAACCUUACCUGGGCUUGACAUAUACAGGAUCGCGCCAGAGAUGGUGUUUCCCUUGUGACUUGUAUACAGGUGGUGCAUGGUUGUCGUCAGCUCGUGUCGUGAGAUGUUGGGUUAAGUCCCGCAACGAGCGCAACCCUUGUAUUAUGUUGCCAGCACGUUGUGGUGGGGACUCGUAAGAAACUGCCGGGGUUAACUCGGAGGAAGGUGGGGAUGACGUCAAAUCAUCAUGCCCCUUAUGUCCAGGGCUUCACACAUGCUACAAUGGUCGGUACAGUGGGUUGCCAGUCCGUGAGGGCGAGCUAAUCCCGCAAAGCUGGUCUCAGUUCGGAUCGGGGUCUGCAACUCGACCCCGUGAAGUCGGAGUCGCUAGUAAUCGCAGAUCAGCAACGCUGCGGUGAAUACGUUCCCGGGCCU
This 1341-nucleotide ribosomal RNA is filed under the name uncultured bacterium. RNAcentral describes it as "partial 16S ribosomal RNA". It matches the Rfam family "Bacterial small subunit ribosomal RNA", at positions 28 to 1381 of the family's 1533-position model. The record is from RNAcentral.